AGCUUUGUGCAGUGGCAGUAUCGUAGCCAAUGAGGUUUAUCUGAGGCACGGUUAUUGCUAACUGAU
Molecule: small nuclear RNA, 66 nt
Filed under: Tupaia belangeri chinensis (Chinese tree shrew)
Lineage: Eukaryota; Metazoa; Chordata; Mammalia; Scandentia; Tupaiidae
Description: Tupaia chinensis (Chinese tree shrew) U4 spliceosomal RNA
Rfam family: U4 spliceosomal RNA
About the family: U4 small nuclear RNA (U4 snRNA) is a component of the major U2-dependent spliceosome. The structure of U4 snRNA from yeast and human has been reported.
Source: Rfam by way of RNAcentral